This 254-nucleotide ribosomal RNA is filed under the name uncultured bacterium. RNAcentral's name for it is "partial 16S ribosomal RNA". It matches the Rfam family "Bacterial small subunit ribosomal RNA", at positions 524 to 776 of the family's 1533-position model. The record is from RNAcentral.
UACGUAGGGUGCAAGCGUUGUCCGGAAUUAUUGGGCGUAAAGGGCUCGUAGGCGGUCCGUCACGUCGGGAGUGAAAACUUGGGGCUUAACCCCAAGCCUGCUUCCGAUACGGGCGGACUAGAGGUAGGCAGGGGAGAACGGAAUUCCUGGUGUAGCGGUAAAAUGCUCAAAUAUAUAGAGGAACACCAAACGGCGAAGGCAGUUAACUAUUCAGUUCUUGACGUUGAGGCACGAAAGCGUGGGGAGCAAGACGG